UUCACAGCAGAGUGUGGGGACCCCGAUUCUAUGUCAGUUCUGCCAGUUUCUUUCCCUUUCUCUUCAAGUGAGCUCAUGGUCUGAGUUCACCCUUGUCUCAGUCCUCACUGGGUUGUUGCCGGAGGAACUGGAAUCUGAGGCCUGGGUGAGGCUUACUCACACGGAAGACUGCACAUCCAUAUGCACACACCCUGGAAUGUGUCAAGGCUCCAAUUUAAGAGGCAGACUUGAAUAAGGCUGGAGGCAUCUUUGGGCCAGCACACACUGAUUUAAAGGAACUGGCAUCAAAGUACCAUUUCCCACCAGGCUUGAGCCUCUGCAGCCUCGGAAGAGGGAGUCUUUAGCCGAAACAUUCAGGAGCCGGGGAUCCCAGAAGCUGGAACACUUGUCUGUAAACUGAGCACUUGGGAGAUGGAAGCAAGUGCAUCAUUGGGAAUUCAAGAUCAUCCUCACCAAACACAGCAAUUUAAAGAGCAGUCUAGGUUUACAUGAGACCAUAUUUCAAAAAAACAACAAUAAAACCAAACCAAGAACAACAAGAAAGCAAGUGUAAGUGGCACAGGCCUUUAAUCCCAGCACUUGGGAGGCAGAAGCAGGUGGAUCUCUGUGAGUUCCAGACCAGCCUGGUCUAUAAGACAAGCCUGGUCUACAAGGACAGCCUCCAAAGCCACAGAGAAACCCUGUCUCAAAACAAAACAAAAACAAAAAAACCCUACAUCUUGAUUUUGGAUCCUUUCUUUACAUCUGGAAUUAUCUGUUACUGAAUACAAAAGCACCUAAAAGGAAAGGACCGGGUCCUGUAUAAUGAUAGUUGAGCCCCACCCAGUGGGAAGAGAAGAAACUUCUUCCACAGUCUCGUCUCAACAGUUUUAUGCUGUGGAAUAGAUAUGAUGAAGCAAUGCAUGAGUUGCUUACUUCUUCAGGUUUAUUCUCCCUCUUUUUUGUCAUCUUAAUUUAGUUUUGCCUCUUUGCUUCUCCUGUAGAAAACUUUCCCCCAGUUUUGGUUUUAGAUGGUUUGCCCUGGUGCAUUCUGUUUAUUAGAAUUCCAGAAUCACACUUUCUGGGUGUUAUUUGGGCACAAAUGUUCCCAAAAUAUGUAAGCACUUAAAUCAUUGUAAAGACAGCUGGCCAUGGAGCACAUCUUGCAGGCAGGUAGCCAAAACAGCACCAGAAAAUAGAAGGAUGAAGGAUUGAACCCUACCCCGUGGCAGAAUGCAGAGCCCUACUGAGAUACAUGGGGAAAGGAGAAGGUCCCUUAUGGAGGGAUCAGCCAUGUUGCAAAGCCAACAACACGGACCAUCAGAAGAGCAAACCCAGGCGGGAAGGGAGCCACCCACACCUGGAAGCCUGACAUCAGAAAUCCAACCAGCCUCCAACUGCUCUGUGAAAUAAGGGGAAAGAGUGAGCCCCACACUGAAGGUACAGAGUGUCUGUGUGUCAUCCUCUGAAGACAUGGGGACUCCAUCAUGAGGGCAGUAGCGCUGGUGGCUUUGCUUUGGACACAGUCUGUAGCAGGACAGCCCAUGCAAAGGCAAUUAGGUGGAAAUGGGGAUCAUUAUAGCCCUUUGAUUUGGUUCCUCCAAUAUCCGGUCAGGCAGAUGAAGAAAAGAGACUGACUCUUAACUCGGAAGUAAAUUGCAGGUGGAAGUAUUUGGUUUCAGCUUCUUUCAGGUUGAGGCUUUCCAAAGCAGAAUUUUGUGUGUUCAGGAACCCAAACAUGGGACAUUAUUGUUUUAGAGCCCUUGCAGAGUCAGAAAUAAGAAAACAGGCAGCCAAAUGGAGACAAUUGGUUUUAAUAGGCUGCUAUUCUUUACAGUGUGGUGACACUCAUUCUGUGUCAGGGCUUUGAAAUUGCCUGCUGGGGAUCCAGCUGCUCAAUCUUCACCUGCCCCCCACACACAAAGUUGUUCUUAUAGAAUUUAUUCCUCUCCUUUAUGGGUAUUUUUAGGAAGUGUCAGUUUGGGGGGAAAGUCCUAAAUAUGAAAUGUUCUAAUUAAUCAUUUGGAUCUUGCUGAGGGUGUGAGAGGGUGAAGGGUGUGGCUUCUCCCUUAUUCUGAAAUAGUUCUGUAGACUGAUUCCCAUGCUUAUUCUGCUCUCCAGGGCCGUCAGGACUCAUUCAAAACAACAGUCAGUAGGCGGGCUUUCAGAGGGGGAAAAAUCGUUAUUUAAAAUUGUUUCCUUAUGUCCUAUAGCAGCUCUUCUUGCCAUUUGUUUCUAGAGCAGCAUCUGCAAUGACAACUGGCUUGGUAUCUAUGUCAAGCCAAUUCAAAUAUUAAAUACAUUAAAAUGCUCUCUCCACCCUUGGCAUUACUAUAAUUAGGGACCUGGGCAAGACUUUGCUCAACCCUAUGACUUUUUUAAGCCUUGGAUCCUAGGUCGGGGAAAUAGGAGUUAGAAACCAGUCACUUAGGGAAAGGACCCAGUCAUAGUUGGAAUCACACUUGGUCUCUCAGUUGCUGCCACUGUUUGGGGAAAUUAUGUAACCUUUAGAAGGUGGAACCUUGUUGAAGGAAAUAGGUCAUUGGAGGUAGGCUUUAAGGGUUUAUUGUCUUGACCCACUUCCUGUUCUUGCUUUCUUUGCUUCCUGUGUGCUGUUGAUGUGAUUUCUUAGCAUCCUGCUCCUACCAGCAUGGCUUCCCUACCAUUGUGGACAUCAAGCCUAAAUAAGCUUUCUUCUUUAGGAUGCUUUUAUUAGAGUGUUUUACUGCACAACAACAGCAACAAAAAAGUAACUAAUACAGACCCCAACGAAUCAGCUCUACAAAUGUCCCUGCUGGAGACCUGGAAUAUCAAAAGACAGUUCCAGUUCCUAGUCCGUUGUUAUCUCUUGUCCUUGCCUGGGAGCUAUAAUACAUGAGGAUGUGACCAAAACUGAGAGCAGGCAACUGGACAUCUGACUAGACCAACUGGGCCUACCAGCUUAUCCCCCUCCCUAUGUUUUACUCUUAAGACUUAAAAAAAAAAGAAAAGAGAAAAGUAAAAAACAAAAAAACAAACCUGGACUAGAAGCUUAGUGAUACUCUAUUUCUGGGACCCCUCUGUAUGAUAUGAAUAUGGUUUAUUACCAUUGCUUAAUAAAGAAGCUACUUUGGCCUAUAGCAAAGCAGGAUAUACAGCCAGGCAAGAAAUCAAAGCAGAGAUACAGGGAGAAGGGCAGGGUCAGGGAGAUGCCAGCAGCUGCCUGAGCACCAAGAUAUACUAGAGAACAAGUAUUGCCUAUUAUAUAUAGAUGCAUGAUAUAUAUUAAUAGAAAUGGGUUAAUUUAAGUUUUAAAAGCUAGUUAGCAACAAGCCUGAGCAAUAGGCCAAACAGUUUGUAAUUAAUAUUAAGCCUCUGAGUGAUUAUUUUAAAAGCAGCUGCAGGACGGGGUGGGACAGAAAAGCCUCCACUUAGUACUCUUGCUACAUGGGUUCUCUCUCUCUCUCUCCCUCUCCUUUCCUCCCUCCUUGUAAUCUAUAAGAAACUCUUCUCUAAAAUGUAUACGCUACAGUUUAUGAAUCUCAUUCUUCAAAUUCUCUGGACAAAAACUCAAAAGCUACUAGCUCAGGGUGGCUUGAAUGGCUGUUGAGUUUUCAGGGACCCUAGACCUCCAGGCUAAGCUCACUAAGAACUGAGAAAGUCUCUAAUGUACUCAAAGAUACCCCUAAAUUUCCUGUAUCAAAGGUUACUGUUCUCCAUGUCUCAUUACUUUUAAGGAUAACAUGGCCUGCCCAGGCUUCCAUCAUUGACUCCACAUCUGCUGGCAAAACAGACUAGCCUCUUCUACCAGCAGGGACUCUCUUGUAGUUAAGAAAAGAGCAGAAAGACUCUGCCUCAGUUGAGGAAGGACAAACGGAUUCAGACCUUACAGGAUGGGACAGCUAACUUAAAGGUGUGUGCUACCAUGCCCAGCUUGUAUUUUCUUGUAAGUAACAUUUCUUUUUAAUUGAGAAAACACACAGAAAAAGUGUUCAGCUUGAUGAAUUUUCACUGUGAACCAACCAGAAAAACAAAGCCUAGGCCUAGAAACAGAAAAUGGAAAUUACCAGUACUGAUAGGCCCUCUUUUCCCUACUUCUAGGUUCUUGUUGUCCCAAGGACUGCCACUAACCUGACUUCUGACAUCUUGUCUUAGUUAGGGUCUCUAUUGCUGUGAAGAGACACCAUGACCAUGGCAACUCUUACAAAGAAAACAUUUAAUUGAGGUGGGUUGCUUACAGUUUCAGAGAUUCAGUCAAUUAGCAUAGUGGCAUGCAGAAAGAGGCAGUGCUGGAGCUAAGACUGCUACAUCUUGUAGGCAACAGGAAGUUGACACUAGGCAGUUUCCUGAGUAUAUGAAACCUCAAAGCCUGCCCCCUCAAAGCCCUUCCUCCAACAAGGCCACACCCAUUCCAACAAAACCACACCUUCUAAUAGUGCCACUUCCUAUGAGAUUAUGAGGGCCAAUUCCAUUCAAACUUCCACACAUCUUUUGCUUCUUUGGGAAGCUUUCACUGUGUGUGUGUGGGGGGGGGUUGUUAGGUCACAGGCCUGUCCUCUUGUCUUAGCUAGGGUCUCUUUUUCCUGUGAUACAGCACAAUGACCAAAAGCAGCAUAAGGUGGAAAGGAAUUACUUCAGAUUGCAGUUCCACAUCACAGUCCCUCAUUGAGGGAAGUCAGGGCAGGAGCUUGAAGACAGGAACUGAAGCAGAGGUCUCAGAGGGGUGCUGCUUACUACCUUGUUCCUUGUAGUUGCCUUCUUAUAGUACCCAGGACCAACCAUAAUGGGCUAGGCCCUCCUACAUGAAUUACUAAUUAAGAAAACAUUACAGUCUUGCCUACAGACCAAUCUUACUUUCCCAACUGAGAGUUCCUCUUCCUAAAUGACUUUGUCUUGUGUCAAGUAGACAUAAAACUAGCCAGCACACCCCUUCCUCUCUUAUUUUAAGCUAUCUUUUGUAAUGAAGCUUGUUUCAUUCACACACACACACACACAAUUUCUAAGAGAGGCUGGCAGACUCUAUUGGAUCUUUAGGAACUGGAGUCUUCACAUGGUUGUAGGCCAUCAUGCUGGUGUUGGGAAUUGAACCUAGGGUGGCACACACCUUUAGUCCCAGCACUCGGGAGGCAGAGGCAGAUGGAUCUGUGUGAGUUCAAGGCCAGCCUGGUCUACAGUGUGAGUUCCAGGACAGCCUCCAAAGCUACACGGAGAAACCCUGUCUCAAAAAAAACAAACAAAAAAAGACAACCUUGAACUUCUGAUCUUCCUUUGUAUUUCCAUUGUAGAAGUUAGUACCAUAUGUGGGUCAGGGACUGGAUCAGUCAAGCAUCUGGACUGAUUUCAUUUAGAUUUAUUUAUUUUUAUUUCUCUCAUUGGUAUUUUGUCUGAAUGUAUGCCAGUGUGAGGGUGUCAGACCCCCUGGAAAGUUGUAGGCUGCCAUAUGGGUACUGGAAAUUGAACUUGGGUCCUCUGAAAGAGUAUUCAUUGCUCUUAACUAUUGACCAUCUCUCCAGCACCUAUAUUUUAUUUGUUUACUGGUCAUUGCUGCUGUCCCCAAUGAGCUUUAUAGUCAGGAAUAUUCCUGUUUACUCCAGAAUCCUUUAGUUUAUGUAUAAAGGAGCAGCAAAAAUCUAGGCCAAAGGGUGUUCCUAUUAUGUAUCAGAUGGUGGGAUAAAAGCACUGAAUUCUGCAGUGCAGAACUCAUGAAGCCAAGUGCUCUGCGUGGUAGUCUUAGCUCUCUCAGCUCCAGCCCCACAGUAAACCACAUUAUAGAAGGGAAACAGAUGUGGAAUUGAGUUAUCCCUGCUAUGAUCUUAGAGCUGUCAUUUUCCACUGUAAUCCACAGUUUAUGGGACUAUUCCUCACCACAAAGGUCGGGGUCACUGACCACCAUGUUGUCUACAGCCUGAGCCCCUUGCUGCCCAAACCUCUCAGUGGUCUGCAUACAGCACACCCCCCAACACAACAACUGCUUCUUGUGGCUGUCUUCCACCCAGACACUGUGGGCAAGUGUCCCCAUCCGCCCUGACUUGUGAUUAUUCUUUGGUUUCAGAUCCUCAGAGUAGCUCAGUCUCAAACCAUUGGCCCCAUUCUUACGAUGACGCCUGGCUGUGCACUGGGUGGUCUACAGAGCCCCAUGGUGUGCUGCCUCUCUGAUGCUGGAGGGAGACUGUCAAACUGUCACCAGUCACAGGAACACAUCUCUGUACCACACUGGCAGCUCCCCGAGUUCUUUUAGAGACUUCCACCCAAGCAAAACUGCAAUUCACAGUUUCAUCGAAGAAAUGGGUUUCAAGGCGAGCCAAAUCUGAAAUGAAGGUGAAUAUAUUAGAUCCAAUAGGACAGGUGUGGGCUUCUUCCUCAAGGGAGAGUUACAAUUAAGUUGGAGGCUCUCAAGUUAUAUCUCUAGAGGUUGCCAGGAAAUGGCCCCUUUUAUUUAGUGUAGCCAAACUCUGUAAUCUGUUAUAAGGUUAAAAGUUAAAGAUUUUCUUUUCUCAGUAAACAAAGUUCUCUGAUAGGUUCACGAGUAUGUUUAGGUUUAGGGGAAUGCUAAAAACUCAAGGUUAUAGAUCAUUUUUAGCCCUAAACUAGCACAUUUGUUUAAUUUCAAAAUAUUUGGAGAGUCAGAUAAUUUUCAUUAUUUAAUUAACUUAUAUUACAGUAAAGACAUUAGAACAAUUUUUAGGCUAUGAAAUGGUACACUGUAUUAUUCCAAUAUUUUAAAUAUAUUGAGUUUUUUAUGGUCAAACAUAUUAAUGAAUAAUCCAGAUAUAUUAGGCAACAAUGUGCAUUUUUCAGUCUGGGGUGGAGAACUCAAUAAAUGCAGUCAGGUCCAUUCGUUUUACAUUGCUAUUUACAACUUUCUGGCUGAUUCUGUGACUCUCCAAUCUUUCCAUUUCCAAGAGGAAGGUGCAGACACCUCCAACCAUGACUUUCUGUUUAGCUACUUUUUCCUUUCUUUUGCCAGUGUUUCCUUCACUUAUAAUGGCUCCUACUUCUCCACAUCUUUGUCAAUACUUGCUACAGUCCUUUAAAGAUUAUUUUAGUCCUAAUGAGUAUAACACUGGAUUUUAUUGUGGGUAUGAUGUGGAGAAUUUUUGCAUCUGUUCAAAUUGGGAUAUUUGCCUUUAUGCUAAUCUGGGUAUUCUAAAUACUAGACCUUUAGAAGAUACAAAAUUUGUAACUAUUUGUUCUCAUUCUGUGGUCUGUCUUGACAUUUUAUAUAUCCUCUAAAGCACAAAUUUCAACCUUUCUUCGGUUUAUAUUCUAUUUUUAUUUUAUGUAUAUGGGUGUUUUGCCUGCAUGAAUGUCUGUACACCUCUUGUGUACCUGGUGCCUGAGGAUGCCAGAAGGGCUCAGAUCCCUGUAGCUGCUGAUUAGGUGCUGGGCAUCAAGCUGGGCUUUCUGGAAGAGUGGUCAGUAUUCUUAACCCUCUGAGACAUCUCUCUAGCACCUGUCUUUUUUUUUCAAGAAAAAGUCUCACAAAGCCCAAGCAGGUCUUGAACCAGGUGUGGAAGCCAACAUCUAUAAUAACCUAGCUUGGGGAAAGGUGGAGGCAGAUGGAUUCCUGAGGGCUCACUGGCCAGCCAGUGUAGUCAAUAUGGCAAGCUCCAAGUUCAGUAAGAGAACUGGUAUCAAAAAAUAAGGUGGAAAGUGAAGAGAAAGCUAUGCAAUAUUGACUUCUGGCUUCACAUGAGCAUUUACAGGCACACACCUUCACACACAUGUAAAAGCACACCACACACACCACACACGCACAUACACACAUGAGUGCGUGCCUUUCGUUUAUUGACAUUUGUGGCUCACUUCCCACAUCUGUAUAAACAAUAAGCAAUUCAUGUUUAUUAGAAUUGUAUAUGUAUGAUAAUAGAGCACAAAGAGAUAGGAGACCAGCUUCCUACCUCUAAACAAUGUAAAGCAGCUGUUCUUUCUUUCUUUUUUUCUUUCUUUCUUUUUUUUUUUUUUUUUUCGAGCCAGGGUUUCUCUGUGUAGUUUUGGAGCCUAUCCUGGCACUUGCUCUGUAGACCAGGUUGGUCUUGAACUCACAGAGAUCUGCCUGCCUCUGCCUCUCAGAGUGCUGUAUUAAAGGCAUGUGCCAUCAAUGCCCAGCAAAGCAGCUGUCCUUAAACACUUCAGACUCAAGAACCCUGUAUACCCUGUAAAAUUCUGUCAAGAAUCCUAUAUAGUUCACAGAAGUAGAGAACUUUGGUUAGGAGGCAAAACGACUCUGAAAAAUGCUUAAGAUUAAGGAGAACCAGCUGCAUGCAAACUAUCUGAAUUAUUGCAUAGAAGAUAAUUGACCCCAAUUGAUUUGUGAAAGAUUUGGAAACAAAAGAACUCCAGGGAAAAACAAAACUGACUCAAGAACGGCUAAAGCAAGACAAUGAGAUCUGUUUCAACCAAAUUACCCCUUAAAGAAUAUGCAAGAAUAUGCUCUACAAGCUAGGAAAAUAUUUCAAUUAACAUUUUCCAAGUCUGCCUUUGAGCUAUAUUGAACAAGCUGUAAAUACACCAGAUUUUUCAAAUGAUUUCCAAUAAAACUUUAUUAUUUUCAUUCCUCAGGCAACCUGAAUUUUCAUAUUUUUUUGACCUAGGAUUCUCAUUUAGGGGUAAAAAUAUGUACUUUUGUAAGACCCUCAGAAAGCUGAGGCUUCCAGAAUCUUAGCCCAGGACCUCGGCCACCCCAAUCACAGAAUGGAGGCGAAAGCUUGAUGCAAAUUGCAUGAGGCUUUAUUGUAGUUU
This is a non-coding RNA of Cricetulus griseus (Chinese hamster), 8700 nucleotides long. Lineage: Eukaryota; Metazoa; Chordata; Mammalia; Rodentia; Cricetidae. The record is from RefSeq and is a predicted model, not a curated record.